This 1633-nucleotide long non-coding RNA is filed under the name Fragaria vesca (wild strawberry). Its description in RNAcentral is "long non-coding RNA (FVES_LNC002528)". Lineage: Eukaryota; Viridiplantae; Streptophyta; Magnoliopsida; Rosales; Rosaceae. The record is from RNAcentral.
ACAUCCAUAUAAAUCAUGUUUAUGCUCUUACAACAAUACACGAGCAAAAACGUGACCCAGUUAUAUAUGGACUAUUUUAUGUAGUUUCCAACUUUCUUCUUCCUUUUUCUUGGUGGAGAAGUUUCCAACUAUUGCUUUAAAAAAUAAGUUUCCAACUAUAUCACACUAGUUAUACUUUGGCCCAUGACUGCAUGGUCUAGCACCAAGAGGAUCCUUAUACUUAAUUUGAAAGCCUUUUUUUUAGAAAAAGGUAACCAUUCUAUGUAUAUAAAAUAAUCCAAAACUACAAACCAUGGACAUUAGUGGUGGAAAUGAAUUCUCCUCUCUCAUUAAACCAGCUAUUACAGUAGAUAAGAAUAGAAAUGGGUUCAACCGUAAUCUAAUUUAUUUUAGAAGCCUUGAUACACAUGAACUUCUAGAAUGUCAAUCGUCCUUGGAAACGACAACAUAACCUUGACAUACUCAACGACAUAACUCACGACACCACCCUACCAAAACAAUAAUUAAACUCUCGCUCAAAGAGGAAGGACGACUAUAUAUAUAUAGAGAGAAGUGGCGGUGACGAGUCUAACUGCUCCACAGGUUGUUUCGGCAUGCAUAUCAUGUUGUUGUGGAGAAGCGGUGAUGCGGAUCUUGAGGCGAAUUAGAGCAAUGUGACGCCGUGGUGGCGCAAUCCUGCCCGGAUUGACUCUCUCAAUCUGGGUCAGUUUCUCUGCUACUUCGAUUUGUCGCAUAUCUUAUUGAAAGUUGGCUUGCUCCUAUGUGGUGGAUGAUGUAAGCGACAAUGCUUCUCUGGUGACGGUCGAUUUUUCAGACAGAUCAGACAGCUUGUUUUGAGCCGGGCUUUUGGAUGGCUUGAAUUGUGAGGUCCAUUGGGUUGUGGGGGUUGAGCCUGUGCUAUUUGGCCCAGGUCUAGGUUUUUGUUUUUUAGUUUUGUUUGUUUUGGUGUGUUCAGGCCACCCUCUGUUAACACUUGAAACACUCGAACCACCACCUCCACUCGCAGAGCAGAACCAGACGAUGUCAGACGAAACGAAAGAACACAAAAGCUAACCCUAGAUAGAGAAAUCCUAUGUUUUUGCGGAGCGAAAAAGCUUCUCUACGCAGUACUACAAAAUUAAUUUGAAGCCCUUAAUCUGCUAAGUUAUUAUAAUUUUUAUAUGUUCUAAAUUAUUUUCUAAAACUUUAUUUAUCUUCAUCCCUAACGAAUAAUUUACCUAUAUAGUAAAUAUAAAUAUAGUAAAUUAGGUGUAGUUGGCGUUGUUCAUAAGCCCAUGUGGAAAUGACGAUUUUGUCCUCACUUACUUCAUAAUUACAGUCCUUCCAUCACCCUUUAAAUUACAGUUUUGCCCCCCGUUUUUCAUAAUUGACGAUUUUGCCCUCACUUAAUUACAUCAUAAUUACAGUCUUGUCAUCACCCUCUAAAUUACAGUUUUGCUCCUACUUUUUAGAAAUAAUGAUUCUGUCAUCACUUACGUCAUAAUUACAAUGCUGUCAUCACCAUUUAAAUUACAGUUUCACCCCCCGCUUUUCUGUUGAUUUACGCUACUACUAUCCGGUCCGGAUAACUUUGCAGUUACCAUUUUGUCCUCAGUUUUUUUUGUAAUUUACAAACUCUCUCUCUCUCUCUNNN